ACGAGGCAGCUCAGUUGGUUAGAGCAACAGACUCAUAAUCUGGAGGUCCCUGGUUCAAGCCCGGUAUUUGUG
RNAcentral lists this transfer RNA (72 nucleotides) under Bacteroides sp. 4_1_36. RNAcentral describes it as "tRNA-Met". The stretch from base 8 to 64 matches the Rfam family "tRNA", at positions 9 to 63 of the family's 71-position model. Rfam says of the family: Transfer RNA (tRNA) molecules are approximately 80 nucleotides in length. Their secondary structure includes four short double-helical elements and three loops (D, anti-codon, and T loops). Further hydrogen bonds mediate the characteristic L-shaped molecular structure. tRNAs have two regions of fundamental functional importance: the anti-codon, which is responsible for specific mRNA codon recognition, and the 3' end, to which the tRNAs corresponding amino acid is attached (by aminoacyl-tRNA synthetases). tRNAs cope with the degeneracy of the genetic code in two manners: having more than one tRNA (with a specific anti-codon) for a particular amino acid; and 'wobble' base-pairing, i.e. permitting non-standard base-pairing at the 3rd anti-codon position. The record is from RNAcentral. Lineage: Bacteria; Pseudomonadati; Bacteroidota; Bacteroidia; Bacteroidales; Bacteroidaceae.